CUAAAAUAUAAAGCUAUUAAGGUCAUUUAUUUAAAAAUGACGUGAGUAGGUGAUGUACAUUUUUCUUGCAGGUUUGUUAAGAAGUUGGAGCACUCUUGGAAAGCCCUGGUACAUGACGGAGACACUGUCUCAGUGCAUCGCCCAGGCUUCUACGCUGAACGGUUCCAGCGCUUCAUGUGCAACACAGUAUUUAAGAAGAUUCCCUUGAAGCCUUCUCCUUCCAAAAAGUUUCGGUCUGGCUCAUCUUUCUCUCGGCGAGCAGGCUCCAGUGGCAACUCCUGCAUUACUUACCAGCCAUCGGUCUCUGGGGAACACAAGGCACAAGUGACAACAAAGGCAGAAGUGGAGCCAGGUCAGCGCUAGGGCUGGGGUCCCCAUGUGAUUGGGUACUCCCUCCCUUCCUUCUGAGCCGUUACCUUGUCUGGCCAGGACCUCUGCUCCCAUUUCUAUCCAGGAAGCCUAGCUGCUACAUAUUUUUCCUUGUAUUUACUGUACCCCAUCUUCUCUAUCUUUUUUCCAGGCGUUCACCUUGGUCGUCCUGAUGUUUUACCUCAGACUCCACCUUUGGAGGAAAUCAGUGAGGGCUCGCCUAUUCCUGACCCCAGUUUCUCACCUCUAGUUGGAGAGACUUUGCAAAUGCUAACUACAAGUACAACCUUGGAAAAGCUUGAAGUUGCAGAGUCAGAGUUCACCCAUUAAGCGCAAAGCCUCAGAAGACCUGGAACAAGAUUCUGCCAUCUCUGUGAUCCCAAGAUGUCAGCCCUUGCCCCAGCAAUGCUGAAUUUUCUUCUACUUGGUCAUCAAAAAAGGAGUGUAAUAGAAGUGAGGGGAGCUGCUCCUCCAUCUUCUUCCUGAAGAAGAACCUUCUCUCCUUCCUCUUCCUCAUGAAUGGGCCUUAGUGCCUCAGAGAGUUGAGGACCGCAGCAUCCCCUCCACUCCAGAGUUGGGUGGUACGGAUUUUCAACUGGCCAACCCUUUGCCUCCACUAUUGAUUUUUUUUCAGACCCCCAUUCUUCAUGCUGGAAAUGGGAUUGCUGGACUUGGCAGCUUUCUUUCCCCUUGUCUUUGACCAGGAACCGGACUCUUAAUUUCCUCAGGACAGACUAGCUGGCACAUUAUCCCUACCUUAGUUCUUUCUCUCUGACUCCUGGAAGAAUACUCCUGUAAUCUCUGUAAAGGUUUUUGGGGGAUAAGGGUGUUUAACCACCUCCCAGCUUUCUUCUUCUUUUUUUUUUUUUUUCCUGAAAAAAGGAAAAAGCACACAGCACACAAUUUCAAGCCAUUUUCAGAUCAGAACUCCAGAAGUGUUGACAAGAUGCCUAUUCGUAGAGUUCCCUCAGAAGAGCCAUGGUGUUUAUGAAGAGAAGAGUAGUGAUUGCUCUGCCAGAAGCAGCUCCUCUUUAAACUCCUCCUCUCUUGAUGAAUUUCUUAAGGCUGAAGGAAUGAAGAGAGUGGGACAUGGGGUAAUCUUUAUCCCUUUUGUUAAAACAGGAGGCAGCCAUGGGCUGGGAGAUCAUAGCCCUUCCUAGGCAGAAUCCUGUUCACUGCCAGGCUAUAAUAAUUAUUACUAUUUUGCAAUUUGAAAUAUAUUCUGGUUGUUUUUCUAAAUGUGAAGACUUACCAAAUGAAUUUUAGAUCAUUCUCCAGAGGAGAUUUUUUUUGCUCUUCUCAUCUUUUCCAACAGUGUUCUUCUGUUUGUGGAGCUAAGGUAAAGAGGGGACACCUCUGUCUGUUUAACAGACAGUCCAUAUCUGUGAGGCCAGCAAAUAUUUUCUUAAACUCAUGGGGAGACAGCAGAUUCUUGCCUUGGUGAGGUCAUUGCUGUGCCAUAUGUCCUAUCCCCCUGUCUUCAUGCAGGGAAGUUGGAAAUGGGGGCUACAUAUGCCCUCUCCUCCCUGUCUACAAGAGUUGUGGUUUUCCAUCUGAUCCUUCCACUCUUGUCAGGGGAAGAAGGGGGCCUGGUAUCUCAGGCAGAUUGUUGAAUUCCUGUUCUAUCCCUUCUCUAUCCCACCCUGCCUUGAUAAUAUGUUAGCCGAUACCCCAAAUAACUGUCUAUAUUAGACACCCCCAGCCAGUUUCUGGCUGCCUGUCUUUGCUGCCAUGUUUUUUACAAGAAGGAAAGAAUUCUUGCUAUUUUUUUUUCAUAAUUUACUAUUUAUGAUGUAUUUAAGUGUUUUAUUAAGGACAGAGUUCUGUUAGGGGUGGGAGGGAAUAUUUGAGGGAGGGCUGGGUCUUAGGGAAAGGAAUG
This 2248-nucleotide long non-coding RNA is filed under the name Pan troglodytes (chimpanzee). RNAcentral's name for it is "long non-coding RNA NONPTRT000460". The record is from RNAcentral. Lineage: Eukaryota; Metazoa; Chordata; Mammalia; Primates; Hominidae.